Molecule: long non-coding RNA, 1152 nt
Organism: Cyprinus carpio (common carp)
Lineage: Eukaryota; Metazoa; Chordata; Actinopteri; Cypriniformes; Cyprinidae
Source: Ensembl
AUAACAGCGUCCAGAUCCUCUCUGGAAAUGGCGGAAUCUUUGAAUUUUUCCUUUAUUGGCGAUUGUUCAAUCUCUCUUUUCCGAAAGAGAGUGGUUCAAAAUUUACUGACAGGAUAUAUAUAAUUUCUGGCAGAUUGAGCAGAGUGAAGGACUAUGCGUGCAUUGCUCCCGAAGGGUCACGUGAUCCCUCUUUUUACUAGUUUUAUUAGUUUUAUAAGAAUUAGCAUUUUAACUAGUGACAAUUUAAUUGUUGAUAUCACGAAUUCAUAUCCUGUGAAGGAAUAAAAGUCAAAAAGGCUUGCCAUAUAUAACCCCAACCCGCUACACACCCACCCACUCGGGAAUUCUCACUCCAAGUUGAACUCAAAAGUUGGCAGACCUGCUUUGCCAGAUGGAUCAAAAUCACGCAAAUUUACGUCUGAGAUCACACCACAGGGACGUGGCUGUUUCUGCAGUUGGUUUAAAGGGUAAAUUGGACUACUAUUUUUCCUCUCUGUAGUUCAUUCUGGACUGGUCAUUAACUGGUCAAUGGUGGAGCUUUUACUGCGCACAAACUUUUUCGUUUCAUUAUUCUUUAUUCGGCCAGGAUGGAGCUCAGUCAACUUCCUCUUGUGCUCUGUGGAUGGUCUCCCUCUAAUGUCAGUCAACAGAAGAACAGCAGUCAGACAUCAGACCAGAACCAGAGUGAAGAGACAUACAAGACACUGCAGUCCGGUCAGUCUAAUCAUUACCCAUGAGGCUUUACAAUCUCAGAUGAAAGACUUAGAGUUAACUUUUAAUAAACUCUCACAGCUAACUAAAUAUUAUUUCACUCUUCUAAAGUUUAACAUCUCUCUCUGUGCACACAAUAUAAAGACUCUGGUAGAUGUUAACAUGUUACAGUCAGUAGCGGCUCCUGAUCGUAAAUUUAGGUGGGGCAGAUUCUGGGUCAUAGAGCUAGUUUAUAAUAAACUUAAGAAAGUAUCUAUAUUUUUAUAGUCUAAUCGCUGAACACAUGCACACACACUUCUGGCAGAGAUCUAAUGUCCUUGCGUUAUUCAGCCUGUGGGCGAAACGCUAAUGUUGAUUGACAGGCUCGAAGCAUACACACAUAGAAUGCUAUAGAAUUAUUGCCUUAAUAAAUUUCUCAGAGAGUUGAUUAAGAAUAUUACA